UGGGGAAUAUUGCACAAUGGGCGCAAGCCUGAUGCAGCCAUGCCGCGUGUAUGAAGAAGGCCUUCGGGUUGUAAAGUACUUUCAGCGGGGAGGAAGGGAGUAAAGUUAAUACCUUUGCUCAUUGACGUUACCCGCAGAAGAAGCACAGGCUAACUCCGUGCCAGCAGCCGCGGUAAUACGGAGGGUGCAAGCGUUAAUCGGAAUUACUGGGCGUAAAGCGCACGCAGGCGGUUUGUUAAGUCAGAUGUGAAAUCCCCGGGCUCAACCUGGGAACUGCAUCUGAUACUGGCAAGCUUGAGUCUCGUAGAGGGGGGUAGAAUUCCAGGUGUAGCGGUGAAAUGCGUAGAGAUCUGGAGGAAUACCGGUGGCGAAGGCGGCCCCCUGGACGAAGACUGACGCUCAGGUGCGAAAGCGUGGGGAGCAAACA
RNAcentral lists this ribosomal RNA (427 nucleotides) under uncultured bacterium. RNAcentral describes it as "partial 16S ribosomal RNA". It matches the Rfam family "Bacterial small subunit ribosomal RNA", at positions 355 to 774 of the family's 1533-position model. The record is from RNAcentral.